Molecule: long non-coding RNA, 408 nt
Organism: Artibeus jamaicensis (Jamaican fruit-eating bat)
Lineage: Eukaryota; Metazoa; Chordata; Mammalia; Chiroptera; Phyllostomidae
Exons: 3
Source: RefSeq, a predicted model, not a curated record
GUUUUGUAAUAAGAGAAGUCCCUCCACCUAAUGUAAGAUCCUUUGAGCUCUCAGGAGGUUUAUGAAGCAACAUUCUCCCCCCUGUACAGAGAUGAAAGCCAAGGCUCAAAAAAGUGAAGGAAUUUACCCAAGCACAGGAUGAGCUGCACCUGAAGAACCAUCUCCCCUCACCUGGCUGACUUCCACAAGCCUUAGUAUCUCUGCUUCCCACUGAGUCCUCGGGAAGCUCCCACAGUGCCUCCUGCUGCUGUCACGCCCGGCCACCCACGCCGUGACCAGCAGUGUGCACGGCCGAGAUUUAUAGAUGGAAAACAGAAGGGCUAGUGGAGAAAAACGCUGCCUUCUGAAGUGCAAAUUCCUCCUCCCACGCCAUUGGAAAUGAUACAAAUAACAUAAUUAAACAUAUUG